CUGGAGGCGGGAAUCCGCCCUCUAAGGGCAGACACCAACUCCAGACCUUAAAGGAAGGAAGGACUUAAAGUAAUACACUGAUACCAAUACCAGCCUAAGAAAGCAGGAUGAACUGAAUGCAAUGUCGAUCUGUUUAUAUAUGUCAGUUCCUAUAUGUCCAUUUAUUUCCCUCAAAAGUUUUUGAGAGAAACACAGCUUUGAUCCCCAUUCUGCACAUGAAGAAACGGAGGCAGAAAGAGAGACAUACAAAUGGGAAAAAGUUAGUGGGUAUACAAUACAAAAGAACAAAAAAGUUCAUCGAUUCCGAAGAGGACAGAGAAUAAAUACUCCUUGAUGCUAAGUUCUGGAAGAUACUGGGAGAAGAAAUGGAUGCCAUCAUGAUGCCAGGCUGAAGGGAAACAGCCAGCCCUGUACCUUCAGAGUGCAGGGGACAGAAUGGGCAAUUCCAAAGCACGGAGUACACAGGACUGGAGGAAGCAGGUGGCGGGGAGGAGGAAAGUCUUACCAAAUUCCGUGAGCAAAGCCCCAGGAAACUUACCCUAGAGGAAGAGGCUACUGCUAGCAGCAGCAUUGCUUCUGGCAGCAGCACUUACUCUGGCAGCACUUCUGCUGACAGCAGCCCUUCCCACAGCCACAG
This is a long non-coding RNA of Eptesicus fuscus (big brown bat), 637 nucleotides long. RefSeq lists it as uncharacterized. The record is from RefSeq and is a predicted model, not a curated record. The transcript has 3 exons. NCBI's taxonomy places the organism in Eukaryota, Metazoa, Chordata, Mammalia, Chiroptera, Vespertilionidae.